Molecule: non-coding RNA, 427 nt
Organism: Melanotaenia boesemani (Boeseman's rainbowfish)
Lineage: Eukaryota; Metazoa; Chordata; Actinopteri; Atheriniformes; Melanotaeniidae
Source: the annotation of a RefSeq genome assembly
UUCAGCAGUUUAACAAGAUGGACAGUAGAACUGUGUUACUGCUUCUAACCGUUUGCUGGGCAGGUGUUGAUGGUCAGAUUUUGACAGAAUCUGAACCGGUGGUUAAAAUCCCUGGAAAUUCACACAGACUGACCUGUACAGGCUCUGGAUUUGAUUUCAGCAGCUACAACAUGAACUGGGUCAGACAGGCUCCUGGAAAGGUACUGGAGUGGGUUGCAUUUAUCGGUAUUCGCAGUAUUAAUAUGUACUACUCUCAGUCAGUUAAAAGCCGGUUCACCAUCUCCAGAGACAACAGCAAACAGCAGGUGUAUCUGCAGAUGAACAACCUGAAAACUGAAGAUUCUGCUGUUUAUUAUUGUGCUCGAGAGCCACAGUGACGGAAUUCAGUUGAACAGCUGCACAAAAUCCUAAAGCACAUCUUUAGUUU